This 21-nucleotide non-coding RNA is filed under the name Caenorhabditis elegans. Lineage: Eukaryota; Metazoa; Nematoda; Chromadorea; Rhabditida; Rhabditidae. The record is from RNAcentral.
UGCAUCGCGAAUUUAGUGAGG